This 254-nucleotide ribosomal RNA is filed under the name uncultured bacterium. RNAcentral's name for it is "partial 16S ribosomal RNA". It matches the Rfam family "Bacterial small subunit ribosomal RNA", at positions 524 to 776 of the family's 1533-position model. The record is from RNAcentral.
UACGGGGGGAGCAAGCGUUGCUCGGAUUUACUGGGCGUAAAGGGCGCGUAGGCGGUCGUGCCAGGUCACUUGUGAAAUCUCCGGGCUUAACUCGGAACGGUCAAGUGAUACUGUCGGACUAGAGUACAGAAGGGGCAACUGGAAUUCUCGGUGUAGCGGUGAAAUGCGCAGAUAUCAGGAGGAACACCGGUGGCGAAGGCGGGUCUCUGGGCCGAUACUGACGCUGAGGAGCGAAAGCGUGGGGAGCGAACAGG